GCCUCCAUAGCUCAGUUGGUAGAGCAGCUGACUCUUAAUCAGCGGGUCCCAGGUUCGAGCCCUGGUGGGGGUACCA
Molecule: transfer RNA, 76 nt
Filed under: Planctomycetota bacterium
Lineage: Bacteria; Pseudomonadati; Planctomycetota
Description: tRNA-Lys
Rfam family: tRNA
About the family: Transfer RNA (tRNA) molecules are approximately 80 nucleotides in length.
Source: RNAcentral